UCUGGGCUGUGAAACAGAGGAUCAAGGAU
RNAcentral lists this non-coding RNA (29 nucleotides) under Homo sapiens (human). Lineage: Eukaryota; Metazoa; Chordata; Mammalia; Primates; Hominidae. The record is from RNAcentral.